AGAGUUUGAUCCUGGCUCAGGACGAACGCUGGCGGCGCGCCUAACACAUGCAAGUCGAACGAGAGAGAAGGAGCUUGCUUCUUCGAUCGAGUGGCGAACGGGUGAGUAACGCGUGAGGAACCUGCCUCAAAGAGGGGGACAACAGUUGGAAACGACUGCUAAUACCGCAUAAGCCCACGGGUCGGCAUCGACCAGAGGGAAAAGGAGCAAUCCGCUUUGAGAUGGCCUCGCAUCCGAUUAGCUAGUUGGUGAGGUAACGGCCCACCAAGGCGACGAUCGGUAGCCGGACUGAGAGGUUGAACGGCCACAUUGGGACUGAGACACGGCCCAGACUCCUACGGGAGGCAGCAGUGGGGAAUAUUGCACAAUGGGGGAAACCCUGAUGCAGCGACGCCGCGUGGAGGAAGAAGGUCUUCGGAUUGUAAACUCCUGUUGUUGAGGAAGAUAAUGACGGUACUCAACAAGGAAGUGACGGCUAACUACGUGCCAGCAGCCGCGGUAAAACGUAGGUCACAAGCGUUGUCCGGAAUUACUGGGUGUAAAGGGAGCGCAGGCGGGAAGACAAGUUGGAAGUGAAAUCCAUGGGCUCAACCCAUGAACUGCUUUCAAAACUGUUUUUCUUGAGUAGUGCAGAGGUAGGCGGAAUUCCCGGUGUAGCGGUGGAAUGCGUAGAUAUCGGGAGGAACACCAGUGGCGAAGGCGGCCUGCUGGGCACCAACUGACGCUGAGGCUCGAAAGUGUGGGUAGCAAACAGGAUUAGAUACCCUGGUAGUCCACGCCGUAAACGAUGGGCACUAGGUGUGGGGGGAUACGCCCUCCGUGCCGAAGCUAACGCAUUAAGUGCCCCGCCUGGGGAGUACGGCCGCAAGGCUAAAACUCAAAGGAAUUGACGGGGGCCCGCACAAGCAGCGGAGCAUGUGGCUCAAUUCGAAGCAACGCGAAGAACCUUACCAGGUCUUGACAUCGAGUGACGAGCUAAGAGAUUAGCUUUCCUUUCGAGGCACGAAGACAGGUGGUGCAUGGUUGUCGUCAGCUCGUGUCGUGAGAUGUUGGGUUAAGUCCCGCAACGAGCGCAACCCUUACCAUUAGUUGCUACGCAAGAGCACUCUAAUGGGACUGCCGUUGACAAAACGGAGGAAGGUGGGGAUGACGUCAAAUCAUCAUGCCCCUUAUGACCUGGGCUACACACGUACUACAAUGGCAAUUAACAAAGAGCAGCAAAGCCGCGAGGUGGAGCGAAUCUCCAAAAAUUGUCCCAGUUCAGAUUGCAGGCUGCAACUCGCCUGCAUGAAGUCGGAAUUGCUAGUAAUCGUAGAUCAGCAUGCUACGGUGAAUACGUUCCCGGGCCUUGCACACACCGCCCGUCA
RNAcentral lists this ribosomal RNA (1367 nucleotides) under synthetic construct. RNAcentral's name for it is "bacterial SSU rRNA". It matches the Rfam family "Bacterial small subunit ribosomal RNA". RNAcentral also lists the same sequence under 1 other name. The record is from RNAcentral.